AUUGAACGCUGGCGGCAGGCCUAACACAUGCAAGUCGAGCGAGCGGCGGACGGGUGAGUAAUGUAUGGGGACUGCCCGAUAGAGGGGGAUAACUACUGGAAACGGUGGCUAAUACCGCAUACUAUCGGAUAACCCAUAUGGGAUUAGCUAGUAGGUGGGGUGAAGGCUCACCUAGGCGACGAUCUCUAGCUGGUCUGAGAGGAAGAUCAGCCACACUGGUGAUGAGACACGGGCCAGACUCCUACGGAGGCAGCCUGGGGGAAUUUUUGACAAAGGGCGCAAGCCUGAUUCAGCCAUUCCGGGUGUAUGAAAGAGGCCUUGGGGUUUUAAAGUUCUUUCAGCGGGGAGGCGUUACCCGCAGGAGGAGCACCGGCUAACUUCGUGCCAGCAGCCGCGGUAAUAC
Molecule: ribosomal RNA, 403 nt
Filed under: uncultured bacterium
Lineage: Bacteria
Description: partial 16S ribosomal RNA
Rfam family: Bacterial small subunit ribosomal RNA
Source: RNAcentral